CGGGUGAGUAACACGUGGGUGACCUGCCCUUAGCUCUGGGAUAAGCCUGGGAAACUGGGUCUAAUACCGGAUAUGACUCCAUGACGCAUGUUGUGGGGUGGAAAGCCUUGUGCGGCUAGGGAUGGGCUCGCGGCCUAUCAGCUUGUUGGUGGGGUGAUGGCCUACCAAGGCGACGACGGGUAGCCGGCCUGAGAGGGCGACCGGCCACACUGGGACUGAGACACGGCCCAG
This 231-nucleotide ribosomal RNA is filed under the name uncultured bacterium. RNAcentral describes it as "partial 16S ribosomal RNA". It matches the Rfam family "Bacterial small subunit ribosomal RNA", at positions 103 to 334 of the family's 1533-position model. The record is from RNAcentral.